Erythranthe guttata (spotted monkey flower) is the source of this 248-nucleotide non-coding RNA. The record is from RefSeq and is a predicted model, not a curated record. NCBI's taxonomy places the organism in Eukaryota, Viridiplantae, Streptophyta, Magnoliopsida, Lamiales, Phrymaceae.
CUCUUCACAAAACUCGUCGAGGACCGUGAUAAUUAUAUGUUGGACUGUUUGAUGAAGUGAAAGAAUCUUAUCGUGGAAGUCAUAUUUGUUGUCGUUUAACAAUUUAUGAAGUGGAAUUUAUUAUGAAAUAAUUAUAGUCAUCUUUCUUAUUAUUUGGAAUGAUUGAUUUAUUAUUGUAUUUAGUAUGAUAGAUUGAAAUUAUAAUAUUCACAUUUGAUUGAUAAUAUGUAAAUUUGCAAUCUUUAGUU